Lagopus leucura (white-tailed ptarmigan) is the source of this 542-nucleotide long non-coding RNA. RefSeq lists it as uncharacterized. The record is from RefSeq and is a predicted model, not a curated record. The transcript is spliced from 3 exons. NCBI's taxonomy places the organism in Eukaryota, Metazoa, Chordata, Aves, Galliformes, Phasianidae.
CUGGAUUUUUGGGUAGGUCCCGGCAGGCUGGUCUUCCACAGCUACUGGGGAAGAUGUAUUUCCCCCUUCAAGGGCCUGUAUUAUGGAGGAGCGCAAUCUGAAGAAUUUAGCAAAGAACUUCUGGACAGUGAAAUCUGCAGUGAACGGAGGACUAUCAGAACAAAGACACUGUCAGAAGAUGCCAGACAGCUGACAAGCAGCAAUGAAUUCGUAUCACCACCCUGACAUACCAACAAUGAGGAAGUGAAUAAAACUACUAAAUGCUCUUUUUGUGCUGCUGAGAGAUAGGUCUGGGUCAGCAUACACUUACAAGUCUGGUGAUACAUAAAGGACAUUGUGACUUCUCUGAAGAUGGUUUAGCCCAAUUAAUAAUAUCAACAGGGGAAAGGAAUGCUGCUCUGCUACUGGAGCACUGAGAGAGGAUGUAGAAAGCUGGAGUAUGCACCAAGAUCUCUGUACAACCUUAGUAAAGUCUUGUAAUGCUUUUGAGGACUAACACUUGCCUGCAUAUUUAUUCCAAGACUGACUUUAGGUAUUGUGAA